CAAACGGAUCCGGGUUGGUGGAGCUCCCGCCCCGAUCUGUCUCGACGGGGGAAGUAAAUGGGAGAAAAUAAACGGAUUCGGGGCAGGAAAUGGGGUAAAUUUUACGAUUCGAGACGGAUUCGGGACAGAAAAUGUGAGAAAUUUUGACCCGCCCCGAAUUCGCCCUGCCAUGAUCCAUCCCGAAUCCGCCUCGAAAAUCAUUUAUAUUUUUAAAAAUAUUCUUAAAAAAUAAUGUAUUUACAAAAAAAGUUCAAGUUAGUACUCUUAUUACUA
This 273-nucleotide long non-coding RNA is filed under the name Ananas comosus (pineapple). Its description in RNAcentral is "long non-coding RNA (ACOM_LNC042807)". The record is from RNAcentral. Lineage: Eukaryota; Viridiplantae; Streptophyta; Magnoliopsida; Poales; Bromeliaceae.